Molecule: RNA transcript, 1283 nt
Organism: Quercus lobata
Lineage: Eukaryota; Viridiplantae; Streptophyta; Magnoliopsida; Fagales; Fagaceae
Gene name: anthocyanidin reductase ((2S)-flavan-3-ol-forming)-like
Exons: 6
Source: RefSeq, a predicted model, not a curated record
AAGAAAAAAAGAAGAAGAUAAAUAACGGGUUUGAACUUCACGCCUGAAAUACAAUGACUUUCGCUAUAAAUGUUGUCAAGCCUGAGUAGUUAAAAAUUUAAAAUCCCAUAAAAAUGGAGGAGAAGAGUUACAGUAGGGUCUGCAUCACAGGAGGAUCUGGAUUUGUUGGUUCCUGCCUUGUCAAAAAGCUUCUGGAGAAAGGUCAUACCGUCCAUGCAACUCUGAGGAACCAAGGGGACACGUCCAAAGUAGAUCUCCUGAAGUCCUUUCCAAAUGCAGAGAACAAAUUAGUGCUGUUUCAAGCUGAUAUUUACAAUCCCACUGAGUUCGAACCUGCAAUUACAGGGUGUGAAUAUGUUUUUCAUGUGGCUACCCCAAUGUUACAUAACACCCAAAGCUCUCAGUACAAGGAUACGGCUGAAGCGGCUGUUGCCGGGGUUAGGGUCAUCGCUGAUGCUUGUAUCCGGUCGAAAACCGUGAAGCGGCUCAUCUACACUGCGUCUGUAAUGUCCUCUUCACCUUUGACAGAAGAUGGAGUCUGUUUCAAGUCUUGCGUUGAUGAAACCUGUUGGACACCUUUUGAUGUUUCCUUCACUUAUACCAAUGACUUUACAAUGGGAUACAUUAAAUCAAAGACACUAGCAGAGAAAGAGAUUCUGAAUUAUAAUGAAUAUGAUAAUAGUAGGCUUGAAGUUGUAACACUUGCUUGCGGCGUAGUGGGAGGAGAAACACUUCUUCCUUAUGUACCAUCAUCUGUGGAAAUAAUUUUAUCUCUGCUUUCAGGCAAUUUAAUUUUCUCAAAUACAUUGAAGUUUUUGCAAGAACUUUUGGGUUCAAUUCCUCUUGUUCACAUUGAAGACAUUUGUCAAGCACAUAUCUUCUGCAUAGAAAACCAAUCAAUGAAAGGUAGAUUCCUCUGUGCUGCCACAAAUCCAACCAUAAGAGCGAUUGCAAGUUCCUUCCAAGAAAAGUUUCCAGAAUAUCAGAUAGCGAAAGAGCUUUAGGUGAACAGGUAUGACAAGCUAUUGAAGUUGGUUGGAUUAAGCCAAAGGAAGCGCCGGUGGAUUGGGAUGAUGCAACAAUCAUAGCAGCAAAUUUCAAUAGUAGGGCCUUGAAUGCCUUGUUUUUUGGGGUGACCAAUGAGGAAUUCAAGAAAAUAUCAUCCACGGAAGUUGCUAAGGAAGCAUGGACCAUUCUUGAAACCACCUAUGAAGGCUAUUAAGGACAAGGUGAAGGAAAAAGAAGAACCCGCAGAGAGGCCGGGCCAGUUGGAAUUCAAGGUU